Symphalangus syndactylus (siamang) is the source of this 297-nucleotide long non-coding RNA. RefSeq lists it as uncharacterized. The record is from RefSeq and is a predicted model, not a curated record. NCBI's taxonomy places the organism in Eukaryota, Metazoa, Chordata, Mammalia, Primates, Hylobatidae.
CUAGUCUUGAACUCCUGAUCUCGUGAUCCGCCCACCUCGGCCUCCAAAGUGCUGGGAUUACAAGCGUGAGCCACCGCCCCCGGCCUUCUGUGGACUUCUAUAUUAGAGCGACGGAGUCUUGUUUUGUUGUCAGGAGUGGUCUGGAACUCCUGGGCUCAAGUGAUCCUCUUGCCUCAGCCUCCCAAAGCACUGGGAUUACAGAUGGUUUUUAUACUCCAGGACAAUGCAAUGGGUGGAAGUGAUGGCUUUCUUUUGUCAAAUGGGAAAAGGUGAUUGUGAAAAGGGGACCAAGGGGAG